GGCCCGGAGCGGGGAGCGGGCGGACGAAGAGUCUCCGUGUCCCGGCUGCUGCGGCUCCUCGCUCCGGGGACAGGGAGAUGGGGGUCGGCGGAGUAGGGAGAUCACGGGGAAUGGAAGAGGAGGGAGAUGGAGCAGGGAGAUUAUGAGGGACGGAGGAGCAGAGGGGAGAUGGCGUCCGCGGAGGUGCCUCAGCCCCGGGUGUUCCCGCUCUCCCGCUUCUGAGGCUGCGCUUCGCGAGGGAGGAACUUCUAAAAAUUAUUUCGUGCAUAGAGAAGUCGGAGAUCAGGCAGUCUCCUGCCUGAGGUAAAAAAGAAGAUCUCAGCUGACAGGAUUUGGGGUGCAGCUUUCAGGAGGUUCAGCGAAAUCACAGAACUGUCACAGUACCAGGCCUCACUCAGGCCAGUUCGGUUUUCCCUCAGGAUCUUCCUGGCAGAGGUCAAGGGUAACAAUUUCCACCCAAAAACACAGGAACUCACCCCAGAACAGGACAGUGGAAGAGGUAAUGGCCGCCUCAGGCUGGUUCCAGGCAGGGACAGAGGAGAGAUGCAGCUGACCCAGGAGUCGAUCAGCCCAGUCCCCUUGUAAAUUGGCAGUAAAGAACAGUGUGAGAGACUCCUGAAAAUCCAGGCUUGGAACUGCUGUUCUAAUGUUGGCUGAACUAAGACAGGGCUCCAUUUUGCAAUCAACCUCUCUCUGCUUCAUGAUGUGAAGACCUAUUACUUCCAUAUGCUUUCAUCCUUUGCACAGGGAAAAAAUGGGGGCAAGAACGGAUGAGUUUGGAGAUAAUUUUGUCUUUUCCCCAUAGGAUUUUCUAGGAAAAGGAGAGAUUUCAGUUCAUUUAAAUGCUGUUAUUAGUUUGGCGCUUCCAAAGCAUAGAGACACAGUAAUGGUUUUGCACUCUUCAAGUAAAUUAAGGCAAUGGCAUUUAACAGGUGUUUCAGGAGCAUCCUGGGCUGUUUGUCCCAGAAGUUUUCAAGGUAAAAUUGAACUUAUUUACUCGUUGACUUAAUCUUUUGAUGAAAAUGCAGCAUUCUGCACUUUCCUGUGACUCCAGAAGUUAGUAACUGCAUUUUUCUGUUAGGGAUAUCCAAAGAAAUAGUUAAUGUCUGUUCCUGCAUAUGGUACUGUUAAUUUGCUUGUUUGUGUGUCUGUCUGCUCUUUGCUUGUCUGUUUCUGUGUGUGAUAUUUUAUUGGAGCACACGAUUUGAAGAAGCUGGCUGCCUGCUGUGGUAUUUAUCCUAUAUAAAUUCCCCAUUAAUGACAAAUUUUAGACCCAUCAGAGACAGAAGACUAAGUCCAUCCAUUGAAAUCCUAUUUGUAUUAUUACUUCCUAAUGAAUUCUGUAUUACAGCAGGUGUCAAAUCGUAUCUGUUGUUUUGCAAUCGAGUAUGAAUAGAAGAUGUAUUGCUAUUGCAAAUGAAUCUAAUAUGAAUCUAAUGAGCAGUAAUGAGCAACUGUUUUGUCAUUAUUGAGGCAACCACUGUGAUGCUAAUAAACUCUCGUUUCUGCUACUUAGAAAAAAGCACUGACCAGGAUUUAUAUCGUGGCCUUAAUGUCCCAAAAGCCUGAGGCAAAAGAGAAGAGUGGAACCCCUAAACUGAGCAUAAUUCAGUAAUUUUUUGUGUGGCAGACUUCUUAUUUUCUCUUAUUAAAUGAAACCUGGUUUAAGGCUUUCAAGCUUUCUUACAUUUGAAAGGAAAAAAAAGAUGAAAAAUGCGUGUCUAUUAAAGAGACAUAAAGUUAAGAAGAUGGAAAUUCUGCCUUAAUUUUCUUUAACAUACGUACACUAAUUCCAUACUUGUACACUUGUCAGUGCUUUUGUAAUGCUGAGGUGACUGUGUGCAAAGUUUUAAAAGCAGUCACUUUAAAAGUAACAAGCCAUUAAAUCAAUAUAUAACUAUAAUAUGUUUUGGGGGGGAACUGUCUCAACUCUAUUUUAGUUGGAACUUCAUUUUUAGUUUUUUUUAAAUUUAUUUUCAUUGUGUGUGGAUCAUAGGA
Cyanistes caeruleus (blue tit) is the source of this 1998-nucleotide long non-coding RNA. RefSeq lists it as uncharacterized. The record is from RefSeq and is a predicted model, not a curated record. NCBI's taxonomy places the organism in Eukaryota, Metazoa, Chordata, Aves, Passeriformes, Paridae.